CCUACGGGGGGCUGCAGUGGGGAAUAUUGGACAAUGGGGGGAACCCUGAUCCAGCCAUGCCGCGUGUGUGAAGAAGGCCCUCGGGUUGUAAAGCACUUUCAGUGAGGAAGAACGCCUGGUGGUUAAUACCCAUCAGGAAAGACAUCACUCACAGAAGAAGCACCGACUAACUCCGUGCCAGCAGCCGCGGUAAUACGGAGGGUGCGAGCGUUAAUCGGAAUUACUGGGCGUAAAGCGCGCGUAGGUGGCUUGAUAAGCCGGUUGUGAAAGCCCCGGGCUCAACCUGGGAACGGCAUCCGGAACUGUCAAGCUAGAGUGCAGGAGAGGAAGGUAGAAUUCCCGGUGUAGCGGUGAAAUGCGUAGAGAUCGGGAGGAAUACCAGUGGCGAAGGCGGCCUUCUGGACUGACACUGACACUGAGGUGCGAAAGCGUGGGUAGCAAACAGGAUUAGAUACCCCGGUAGUC
RNAcentral lists this ribosomal RNA (465 nucleotides) under Vreelandella stevensii. RNAcentral describes it as "partial 16S ribosomal RNA". It matches the Rfam family "Bacterial small subunit ribosomal RNA", at positions 338 to 795 of the family's 1533-position model. The record is from RNAcentral. Lineage: Bacteria; Pseudomonadati; Pseudomonadota; Gammaproteobacteria; Oceanospirillales; Halomonadaceae.